UUUAACAUGAAUAAAAGAAAAAUGUAUUCCAUACACCGAAAAAAAAAUGUAGCAAUAUUCAUCAUUGUAGCAAUAUUCAUCAGCCACCCUGUAUAUAAGGCAUUGAUUAAAAGUCAAAAUAUUUUGAUCACGGUUGCCGGACUAUUUUUAACGUGCCUUUAAUUUGGAUCGUAUUUCCCUUCAUUUCCCUCAACAUUUCGAAAAAUACUAAUAAAUUUCCAAUCAAACUGAGUUAAUUUCUUCAAAUAUCAUAUGGCUGUUUUUCAACAAUGGGAUAAACGUUUGGAGGCCAACGUAAUGCAGAGGUUAGCAUGUCCGCCCAUGACGCUGAAUGCCUGGGUUGAAAUCGUGGCGAGAACAUCAGAAACUAUUUUCAGCGGUGGUUAUACCCUCCUAACACUGGCGGCAUUUGUGAGUAACUAUGUCAUUUGAAAAAAUGGUAUGGUGGUGGUGUCGCACUCCGGCACGGCGUUCGGACUCGGCUGUUAAAAGGAGGACCCUUAUCAUUGAGCUUAAACUUGAAUCGGACAGCCCUCAUUGACAUAUGAAAAUUGUACCCCUGACCCUUAAUGGAAUGUAAAUGGGUAAAUUUGCAUUUGCUUUAAAUUUGGGGAUACACCUAAUGGCUUUUUCAUUAGACAAAUUUGUCGAAGUGAUCCAAAGACUACAAAAAAAUUAGUGAUACGUGGCAACACAGUAAAAUGAACAUACCAUACUGUUGAUUAAAACAAAAUGAAAAAAAUGA
This is a long non-coding RNA of Stomoxys calcitrans (stable fly), 745 nucleotides long. RefSeq lists it as uncharacterized. The transcript has 2 exons. The record is from RefSeq and is a predicted model, not a curated record. NCBI's taxonomy places the organism in Eukaryota, Metazoa, Arthropoda, Insecta, Diptera, Muscidae.